Molecule: ribosomal RNA, 1454 nt
Filed under: Halorubrum sp. PJ43
Lineage: Archaea; Methanobacteriati; Methanobacteriota; Halobacteria; Halobacteriales; Haloferacaceae
Description: bacterial SSU rRNA
Rfam family: Archaeal small subunit ribosomal RNA
Source: RNAcentral
UGAUCCUGCCGGAGGCCAUUGCUAUUGGGAUCCGAUUUAGCCAUGCUAGUCGCACGAGUUCAGACUCGUGGCGAAUAGCUCAGUAACACGUGGCCAAACUACCCUUCGGAACACGAUACCCUCGGGAAACUGAGGCUAAUAGUGUAUAUCAUACCACCACUGGAAUGAGUGGUAUGCCAAACGCUCCGGCGCCGAAGGAUGUGGCUGCGGCCGAUUAGGUAGACGGUGGGGUAACGGCCCACCGUGCCAAUAAUCGGUAUGGGUCAUGAGAGUGAGAACCCAGAGACGGAAUCUGAGACAAGAUUCCGGGCCCUACGGGGCGCAGCAGGCGCGAAACCUUUACACUGCACGACAGUGCGAUAGGGGGAUCCCAAGUGCACAGGCAUAGCGCCUGUGCUUUUCGGUACCGUAAGGUGGUACCAGAAUAAGGGCUGGGCAAGACCGGUGCCAGCCGCCGCGGUAAUACCGGCAGCCCAAGUGAUGGCCGAUCUUAUUGGGCCUAAAGCGUCCGUAGCUGGCCGCGCAAGUCCAUCGGGAAAUCCACCUGCUCAACAGGUGGGCGCCCGGUAGAAACUGCGUGGCUUGGGACCGGAAGGCGCGACGGGUACGUCCGGGGUAGGAGUGAAAUCCCGUAAUCCUGGACGGACCGCCGAUGGCGAAAGCACGUCGCGAGAACGGAUCCGACAGUGAGGGACGAAAGCCAGGGUCUCGAACCGGAUUAGAUACCCGGGUAGUCCUGGCCGUAAACAAUGUCUGCUAGGUGUGGCUCCCACUACGAGUGGGUGCUGUGCCGUAGGGAAGCCGCUAAGCAGACCGCCUGGGAAGUACGUCCGCAAGGAUGAAACUUAAAGGAAUUGGCGGGGGAGCACUACAACCGGAGGAGCCUGCGGUUUAAUUGGACUCAACGCCGGACAUCUCACCAGCAUCGACUGUAAUAAUGACGACCAGGUUGAUGACCUUGUCCGAGUUUCAGAGAGGAGGUGCAUGGCCGCCGUCAGCUCGUACCGUGAGGCGUCCUGUUAAGUCAGGCAACGAGCGAGACCCGCACCCUUACUUGCCAGCAGUAUCGCGAGAUAGCUGGGGACAGUAGGGGGGCCGCCGUGGCUAACACGGAGGAAGGAACGGGCAACGGUAGGUCAGUAUGCCCCGAAUGUGCUGGGCAACAUGCGGGCUACAAUGGUCAGGACAAAGGGUUCCAACUCCGAAAGGAGACGGUAAUCUCAGAAACCUGAUCGUAGUUCGGAUUGUGGGCUGCAACUCGCCCACAUGAAGCUGGAUUCGGUAGUAAUCGCGUGUCACAAGCGCGCGGUGAAUACGUCCCUGCUCCUUGCACACACCGCCCGUCAAAGCACCCGAGUGAGGUCCGGAUGAGGCGUUCCACGAACGUCGAAUCUGGGCUUCGCAAGGGGGCUUAAGUCGUAACAAGGUAGCCGUAGGGGAAUCUGCGGCUGGAU